AUUUGGUGCACAUUUGCAGAAACAAGCUUGCACGCACAUUAUCAUCUCGUGUUUAUUCAUUACCCUUUACAAAAAGAUAGGCAUACUUUGAUAUUUCCAAUAUUUAAAAAUAAACCACGCACUUAAAAAUAUGUUUCUCAAAGGACGAUAUAGCAUCAUUCUGUCCUGAGCUAAACCACGCCCUCGUUACGAUGGUUGCGCUUACGUAACGUCAACGUCUCAGGCGGGAGAAAUUGAAAGCAUUGUACUUCAGUGGGGAAAGAGGCAAGCCGUGGAAGAGCAAUCUUAAUAGUAAGUGUGCAAAGAUUGUAGUUCUUUGUUUAAGACACUUCAUCUAAAUUUGUCCUCCUAAAUGUUCAUCAUAUACGGCUUGUGUAACUGAUGACAACCGAUUAAAUUCUUAUUUUAUCUAGUAAUUUGUUAGCUCCAAGUUUAAUGAUAAUUUGAGAAAUUAUAUAUGGUACGACAGCAAUAAAAUAAUAAAAACAUUUAGUGUGGAUGUUCCCAAUGUUUAGAUGCAAACAAAACAAUAUUAUUUAUAAAUGGAUUAUAUAUAUCAUUUAGGGAAAACAGUGUAAAAUGCGCUUAUUUUCGAGAUAGCACGCUUCCAUGCAGACUGUUUUUUAAGCAGAAGUUUGGUUUCAUAAGAAACGCAUGCGUGAGUCAACUCCUGACCCAAACUCCAACCCAGACGGUGGCGGUAAUGUUCCAAAAGCUGGUUGCCAAACGCUAUGAAGAUCACAAGAAGAAAAAGAAGUUUGGCGUUUCAAAACAGUGGAUUCCGGUCAGAAAGACACACAUGAGGAAGCUCGACUCAGCUUGGCUUGCAGACAGAUGAGGACGGUGAUUGCCUGUCAUACACCUAAAGAAAGAACAGGGGCAUUAAAGACACAACUAUAGUGAACGUGAUGAAGAAAAAUUAUUUGGAACAAAGAGGCUGGAGAAAAAACUGGUAUGAAGAUUUCAGAAAUUGAUGCAGCACCACAAGUACCAUCACCACCAAUGACUAUGGCAGGAUCCUUAAGAACAUUAUCAAGAUGCACAAAUGCUGUACAUUUCAGUACACCUAUGAACAUUUACAGUCCUUGUUCAAGUGCAGUCGGAGAUCAAGACAACUUAUUGCAACUCGUCAUGUCUUUCAUGACUGACAAAAGUUUUAAAAUCAUGUGACGUCAUAAAGCAGCAACUGU
This is a non-coding RNA of Danio rerio (zebrafish), 1190 nucleotides long. NCBI's taxonomy places the organism in Eukaryota, Metazoa, Chordata, Actinopteri, Cypriniformes, Danionidae. The record is from RefSeq and is a predicted model, not a curated record.